CCAUGUUUUACACGGUUUGUACAUGAAUUAUGGUACUUAUGUCUAUCUAGUAUUUGUAUAUAUUUUUACCUGUGGAGUUUAUAUAGAUAUAUAAAUGGAGUUAGUUUAUAUAUUGGCGACAACUACUGGGUUGUUUUUCCUGUUAAUUGUUAUACUACUUACUGUUGUUAUUUGUGCCGUACGAAAAUUAAAACAACGACAUUCCAAGCGAUGUGAAUCGUGUCAGAACAAAAUUCAAGACGAUUUAGAAGCAGGUUUUCCACAUAGUUCAGGGGAGACAACUACAGAAUACAUUGACGAUGAUUCGGUUUUCAUGGGCGACUAUUCCACCCCAGAGAAACGCGAGAAAAACAAGAGGAGGCGGAGGGAAACGACAACAAAAAUUAACAAAUAUGAAGACUUUGAGGUUAUCGAGCAUUUCUCAGAAACAGAAAAUAUUCAAAAUGUCCUUUCAUCUAAGUCUAGAGUUGAAGAAAGGGGGCUUACUCCCGUUGAACCCGGUUAUGACGAAGACGAAGCCUAUAAUGAUGUAUUAGAAGUCUUUAGCAAUAAAUGUGGAGAUGUGCGCUGUGACAAUCGUGCAGAUGUUGGUCCAAAUCACGCUCCACCACUUCCAAAAAAGUAUAAAUCUCGAACCGGGAAUCUUGAUGUCGAAUACAAACAUAAUACUCCCGUCCAAUCCGAAUACGAGGGCCAAGCGAUAUACGACUGUUUACCCCUCCCACGCCCAGUCAUUCAGAACCAAAGACGGAACUGGCAACGGGCAGACAUUAACCCGGAUGCUCACCGAGCAAUAAACGCUGAGCUGCUUCCAAGUUUUUACCCGAAUUCUCGAUCGCGAACCCAAUCCGAAGGAGAGUCCAUAGAUAAACCGGAAGAGAAUCGCAAUGAUAUUUCAGACUGUCGCUCUAGGGUACACUCUCUAUCUGGCGCACGAAUAUAACACUGGACUAAAAUAAGAAAAUAGGAGCGGAGCUACUUCUAUUUACAGCGUAAACUGCUACGUUUACAUCGAGCUCAUUUCUUACCCCCACCCCUAUUUUACCGUGACGCUGGGUUGUAUGUUUGUGUCGCUCCAGACACUCUCUAUCUAGCACGAAUAUAGCACUGGACUAAAAUAAGAAAAUAGGGCGGAGCUACGUUUUUACAGCGUGAACUGCUACGUUUCCAUAGAGCUCAUUUCUACCCCCUACCCCCGCUCAC
Molecule: long non-coding RNA, 1203 nt
Organism: Patella vulgata (common limpet)
Lineage: Eukaryota; Metazoa; Mollusca; Gastropoda; Patellidae
Exons: 3
Source: RefSeq, a predicted model, not a curated record